RNAcentral lists this ribosomal RNA (450 nucleotides) under uncultured bacterium. RNAcentral describes it as "SSU rRNA". It matches the Rfam family "Bacterial small subunit ribosomal RNA", at positions 26 to 518 of the family's 1533-position model. The record is from RNAcentral.
AGGAUGAACGCUGGCGGUCUGCUUAACACAUGCAAGUCGAACGGAGUACCUCGGUACUUAGUGGCGGACGGGUGAGUAACGCGUGAGAAUCUGCCCUUAGGUCGGGGACAACCAUUGGAAACGAUGGCUAAUACCGGAUAAGCCGAGAGGUAAAAGAUUAAUUGCCUAGGGAAGAGCUCGCGUCUGAUUAGCUAGUUGGUGAGGUAAAGGCUCACCAAGGCAUCGAUCAGUAGCUGGUCUGAGAGGAUGAUCAGCCACACUGGGACUGAGACACGGCCCAGACUCCUACGGGAGGCAGCAGUGGGAAUUUUCCGCAAUGGGCGAAAGCCUGACGGAGCAAGACCGCGUGAGGGAGGAAGGCUACUUGGGUUGUAAACCUCUUUUCUUGGGGAAGAACAAAAUGACGGUACCCAAGGAAUCAGCAUCGGCUAACUCCGUGCCAGCAGCCGC